This 84-nucleotide transfer RNA is filed under the name Candidatus Woesearchaeota archaeon. RNAcentral describes it as "tRNA-Leu". It matches the Rfam family "tRNA". From Rfam's summary of the family: Transfer RNA (tRNA) molecules are approximately 80 nucleotides in length. Their secondary structure includes four short double-helical elements and three loops (D, anti-codon, and T loops). Further hydrogen bonds mediate the characteristic L-shaped molecular structure. tRNAs have two regions of fundamental functional importance: the anti-codon, which is responsible for specific mRNA codon recognition, and the 3' end, to which the tRNAs corresponding amino acid is attached (by aminoacyl-tRNA synthetases). tRNAs cope with the degeneracy of the genetic code in two manners: having more than one tRNA (with a specific anti-codon) for a particular amino acid; and 'wobble' base-pairing, i.e. permitting non-standard base-pairing at the 3rd anti-codon position. The record is from RNAcentral. Lineage: Archaea; Nanobdellati; Candidatus Woesearchaeota.
GCGGGGGUAGCAAAGUUUGGUCAAACGCGCAGGACUUAAGAUCCUGUCCUUAGUGGUUCGAGGGUUCAAAUCCCUUCCCCCGCA